RNAcentral lists this long non-coding RNA (250 nucleotides) under Pogona vitticeps (central bearded dragon). Its description in RNAcentral is "lncRNA (ENSPVIG00000006871.1)". The record is from RNAcentral. Lineage: Eukaryota; Metazoa; Chordata; Lepidosauria; Squamata; Agamidae.
CAUAUUCAAACAAUUUAUGAUUUUAGCUUUUAACUUUGUUUCUUUUCAUAUUCAAACAAUUUAUUAUUUUAGCUUUCAACUUUGUUUCUUUUAAUACUGUAAGCCACCUUGGAUCCUUAGGAGAAAGGCAGUAUAUAAACGGAUGGACAGAUGGAUGGACGAACAAACAAGCAAACAAAAGAAGGAGCCGUUGUAAAAAUCUUGGCUGCCAGCCAGCCAGCCAGUCAACCAGCAGGAUCCUGACUUUAUC